UACGUAGGGUGCGAGCGUUAAUCGGAAUUACUGGGCGUAAAGCGUGCGUAGACGGUUAUGUAAGUCAGGUGUGAAAGCCCCGGGCUCAACCUGGGAAUUGCAUUUGAGACUGCAUAGCUAGGGUGCGGAAGAGGGAAGCGGAAUUUCCGGUGUAGCGGUGAAAUGCGUAGAUAUCGGAAGGAACAUCAGUGGCGAAAGCGGCUUCCUGGUCCAGCACCGACGUUCAGGCACGAAAGCGUGGGGAGCAAACAGG
RNAcentral lists this ribosomal RNA (253 nucleotides) under uncultured bacterium. RNAcentral describes it as "partial 16S ribosomal RNA". It matches the Rfam family "Bacterial small subunit ribosomal RNA", at positions 524 to 776 of the family's 1533-position model. The record is from RNAcentral.